GGGGAGAUACCAAAGCGGUCGCACUGGGACGGUCUUGAAAACCGCUGAACUCUCUGGGUUCCGUGGGUUCGAAUCCCACUCUCCCCG
RNAcentral lists this transfer RNA (87 nucleotides) under Caudoviricetes sp. RNAcentral's name for it is "tRNA-Ser". It matches the Rfam family "tRNA". Rfam says of the family: Transfer RNA (tRNA) molecules are approximately 80 nucleotides in length. Their secondary structure includes four short double-helical elements and three loops (D, anti-codon, and T loops). Further hydrogen bonds mediate the characteristic L-shaped molecular structure. tRNAs have two regions of fundamental functional importance: the anti-codon, which is responsible for specific mRNA codon recognition, and the 3' end, to which the tRNAs corresponding amino acid is attached (by aminoacyl-tRNA synthetases). tRNAs cope with the degeneracy of the genetic code in two manners: having more than one tRNA (with a specific anti-codon) for a particular amino acid; and 'wobble' base-pairing, i.e. permitting non-standard base-pairing at the 3rd anti-codon position. Lineage: Duplodnaviria; Heunggongvirae; Uroviricota; Caudoviricetes. The record is from RNAcentral.